AAGUCGUAACAAGGUUUCCGUAGGUGAACCUGCGGAAGGAUCAUUAACGUAUCUCUGGCGGCCCGGUUCGCCCUGCUCCGGCCGAGAGGCCGUGCAGCGGGCGUCCGGCGCUGUCCAAACCUUACAAACCCACCGUGCACACUCACGGCAAAAGGCCUUGGGCGAGAGCCCUUGGCCGGUCGCCGUUUCACAAACCCCGAACCUAUGAACGAAUGCGGCCUCUGUCGUCGCCUAACAAACGAAACAACUUUCAACAACGGAUCUCUUGGCUCUC
Molecule: unclassified non-coding RNA, 274 nt
Filed under: air metagenome
Description: partial contains small subunit ribosomal RNA, internal transcribed spacer 1, and 5.8S ribosomal RNA
Rfam family: Eukaryotic small subunit ribosomal RNA (bases 1-46)
Source: RNAcentral